UACGGGAGGCAGCAGUGGGGAAUAUUGCACAAUGGGCGCAAGCCUGAUGCAGCCAUGCCGCGUGUAUGAAGAAGGCCUUCGGGUUGUAAAGUACUUUCAGUCGUGAGGAAGGUGUUAAGGUUAAUAACCUUAGCAAUUGACGUUAGCGACAGAAGAAGCACCGGCUAACUCCGUGCCAGCAGCCGCGGUAAUACGGAGGGUGCGAGCGUUAAUCGGAAUUACUGGGCGUAAAGGGCACGCAGGCGGUUAAUUAAGUUGGAUGUGAAAUCCCCGGGCUUAACCUGGGAAUGGCAUUCAAGACUGGUUAGCUAGAGUCUUGUAGAGGGGGUAGAAUUCCAUGUGUAGCGGUGAAAUGCGUAGAGAUGUGGAGGAAUACCGGUGGCGAAGCGGCCCCUGGACAAAGACUGACGCUCAUGUGCGAAAGCGUGGGGAGCAAACAGGGAUUAGAUACC
Molecule: ribosomal RNA, 452 nt
Filed under: uncultured bacterium
Lineage: Bacteria
Description: bacterial SSU rRNA
Rfam family: Bacterial small subunit ribosomal RNA
Source: RNAcentral